This 386-nucleotide ribosomal RNA is filed under the name uncultured bacterium. RNAcentral's name for it is "bacterial SSU rRNA". It matches the Rfam family "Bacterial small subunit ribosomal RNA", at positions 419 to 793 of the family's 1533-position model. The record is from RNAcentral.
CGGGUUGUAAAGCACUUUCAGUAGGGAGGAAGGUAGUGUAGUUAACACCUGCACUAUUUGACGUUACCUACAGAAGAAGCACCGGCUAACUCCGUGCCAGCAGCCGCGGUAAUACGGAGGGUGCGAGCGUUAAUCGGAAUUACUGGGCGUAAAGCGCAUGCAGGCGGCCUGUUAAGUCAGAUGUGAAAGCCCGGGGCGUUAACCUCGGAAUUGCAUUUGAAACUGGCAGGCUAGAGUCUUGUAGAGGGGGGUAGGAAGUUUCAGGUGUAGCGGUGAAAUGCGUAGAGAUCUGAAGGAAUACCAGUGGCGAAGGCGGCCCCCUCGGACAAAGACUGACGCUCAGAUGCGAAAGCGUGGGGAGCAAACAGGAUUAGAUACCCUGGUAG